UGGGGAAUAUUGGACAAUGGGCGCAAGCCUGAUCCAGCCAUACCGCGUGGGUGAAGAAGGCCUUCGGGUUGUAAAGCCCUUUUGUUGGGAAAGAAAUCCAGCCGGCUAAUACCUGGUUGGGAUGACGGUACCCAAAGAAUAAGCACCGGCUAACUUCGUGCCAGCAGCCGCGGUAAUACGAAGGGUGCAAGCGUUACUCGGAAUUACUGGGCGUAAAGCGUGCGUAGGUGGUCGUUUAAGUCCGUUGUGAAAGCCCUGGGCUCAACCUGGGAACUGCAGUGGAUACUGGGCGACUAGAGUGUGGUAGAGGGUAGCGGAAUUCCUGGUGUAGCAGUGAAAUGCGUAGAGAUCAGGAGGAACAUCCAUGGCGAGGGCAGCUACCUGGACCAACACUGACACUGAGGCACGAAAGCGUGGGGAGCAAACAGGAUUAGAUACCCUGGUAGUCCACGCCCUAAACGAUGCGAACUGGAUGUUGGGUGCAAUUUUGGCACGCAGUAUCGAAGCUAACGCGUUAAGUUCGCCGCCUGGGGAGUACGGUCGCAAGACUGAAACUCAAAGGAAUUGAC
RNAcentral lists this ribosomal RNA (569 nucleotides) under uncultured bacterium. Its description in RNAcentral is "partial 16S ribosomal RNA". It matches the Rfam family "Bacterial small subunit ribosomal RNA", at positions 355 to 914 of the family's 1533-position model. The record is from RNAcentral.